This is a small nuclear RNA of Cavia porcellus (domestic guinea pig), 189 nucleotides long. Its record names the gene U2. It matches the Rfam family "U2 spliceosomal RNA". From Rfam's summary of the family: U2 is a small nuclear RNA (snRNA) component of the spliceosome (involved in pre-mRNA splicing). Lineage: Eukaryota; Metazoa; Chordata; Mammalia; Rodentia; Caviidae. The record is from Ensembl.
UAUGCUUUUCAUCCUUUGGAUAAGAUCAACUGUAGUAUCUGCUCUUGUCAGUUUAAUAUCUGAUAUGUCCUUUAUCCGAGGACAAUAUAUUAAAUGGAUUUUUGGAGCUGGGAGAUGGAAGAGGAGCUUGCUCCGUCCAAUCCAUGCAACUAUCGGGUAUUGCAAUACUUCAGGAAUGGUGCAUGCACA